This 232-nucleotide ribosomal RNA is filed under the name uncultured bacterium. RNAcentral's name for it is "partial 16S ribosomal RNA". It matches the Rfam family "Bacterial small subunit ribosomal RNA", at positions 104 to 334 of the family's 1533-position model. The record is from RNAcentral.
CGGGGUGAGUAACGCGUGGAUAACCUGCCUCACACUGGGGGAUAACAGUUAGAAAUGGCUGCUAAUGCCGCAUAAGCGCACAGUACCGCAUGGUACGGUGUGAAAAACCCAGGUGGUGUGAGAUGGAUCCGCGUCUGAUUAGCCAGUUGGCGGGGUAACGGCCCACCAAAGCGACGAUCAGUAGCCGACCUGAGAGGGUGACCGGCCACAUUGGGACUGAGACACGGCCCAA